This is a long non-coding RNA of Vicia villosa (hairy vetch), 956 nucleotides long. RefSeq lists it as uncharacterized. NCBI's taxonomy places the organism in Eukaryota, Viridiplantae, Streptophyta, Magnoliopsida, Fabales, Fabaceae. The transcript is spliced from 3 exons. The record is from RefSeq and is a predicted model, not a curated record.
AGCAAUUCACGUACAUUAGAGAAAUGUCUCCCUCCUCACAAAACACAGACGGAGGCCGUCGUUCUCUCCGGCAAAGACCUCCCAGUGCCGCCAUAACCAUGUAUCUUCUUUCCGUUCAAUCCUUCCAUUCGUCCCCUAUUUUCUUGCUGUUCAACUUUGAGCACAUCACGACGUUGUCGUUGUUCUCGCGAUACCGAAAGGAUUGAAGAAGCACACUGAAGUUUGUUGAAGAUGAAUCGUGCGGCGAGUAAUGGACAUUGAAGCCGACGAGCGUGGUGACUGAAGAAGACGAUCUGAAGAUAGUUUGUUGCCGGUGAUGAUUAAACGGAGUCGCAGAUGAAGAUCGUGGUGAUGAAGAUGUGCUGAGCGAAGAGAAAUCAUAGAGGUAGAAGAUAAUCGGUGUUACAGGUUUGCUCCUCAAUUUCAAUUCCGUUGCGAAUUUCUUCGUGCAAUUUCUGUUGAAGUUCUGAAGAUGAUGGAUCGAAGUUGAUGAAGGUUGAAAUGAUUCGAGUUUGGAAGGUUGAAGGAUCUUGAGUGGUGAAUCGGUGGUGAGAUUUUGGUGUUAUGAAGAAGAUCAUGAAAGGUUCAAUGAUGGAGAAGGUUCAAGGUGAUGAAGAUUGAAGUGUGAGAGGGAUCGAUUGGUGAUUGAAGUUUGAAGGAGCGAUGAAGAUCCGAAUCGGUUUUGGAUGGCUCAAAUUGAUUGAAAGUCUUGCCGAAAAAACGUGGAGCUGCCGGUGUUGAAGACUUGAAAGCAUUCCCUGAAAACUUAGUCUUAGUGCAAAUAUGUAUGGGGUUGGAUUUGAAUGUAUAUGAGUUUUCUUCUUGUAGAUUGCAUUCCAAACAAAUCAAAAAUGAAUUAAUCUUCCAUCUCGACAUAUCUUAAAGAAACUCGAUCCAAUAUUUGAAUUGUACCGAACCCACAACGUCACUUGAAUGAACUUCAAUUCAACGAAAUC